GACGAACGCUGGCGGCGUGCUUAACACAUGCAAGUCGAACGGAAAGGCCCCUUUGGGGGUACUCGAGUGGCGAACGGGUGAGUAACACGUGAGUAACCUUCCCUUGACUUCGGGAUAACUUCAGGAAACUGGGGCUAAUACCGGCUAGGAAUCCUUGCUGCAUGGUGGGGGUUGGAAAGCUUUGGCGGUUUUGGAUGGGCUGGCGGCUUAUCAGCUUGUUGGUGGGGUAGUGGCUUACCAAGGCUUCGACGGGUAGCCGGCCUGAGAGGGCGACCGGCCAUAUUGGGACUGAGAGACGGCCCAGACUCCGACGGGAGGCAGCAGGGGGGAAGAUUGAACAAGGGGCGGAAGCCUGAUGCAGCAACGCCGCGUGCGGGAUGACGGCCUUCGGGUUGUAAACCGCUUUCAGCAGGGGCGAAGCUUGUGGUGACGGUACCUGCAGAAGAAGCACCGGCUAACUACGUG
RNAcentral lists this ribosomal RNA (465 nucleotides) under uncultured bacterium. RNAcentral's name for it is "partial 16S ribosomal RNA". It matches the Rfam family "Bacterial small subunit ribosomal RNA", at positions 28 to 507 of the family's 1533-position model. The record is from RNAcentral.